CAGCAGCCGCGGUAAUACGUGGGGUGCGAGCGUUAAUCGGAAUUACUGGGCGUAAAGCGUGCGCAGGCGGUUAUAUAAGACAGUUGUGAAAUCCCCGGGCUCAACCUGGGAACUGCAUCUGUGACUGUAUAGCUAGAGUACGGUAGAGGGGGAUGGAAUUCCGCGUGUAGCAGUGAAAUGCGUAGAUAUGCGGAGGAACACCGAUGGCGAAGGCAAUCCCCUGGACCUGUACUGACGCUCAUGCACGAAAGCGUGGGGAGCAAACAGGAUUAGAUACCCGCGUAGUCCCUGUCUCUUAUAC
Molecule: ribosomal RNA, 301 nt
Filed under: uncultured bacterium
Lineage: Bacteria
Description: partial 16S ribosomal RNA
Rfam family: Bacterial small subunit ribosomal RNA
Source: RNAcentral